AGGAUAAACGCUGGCGGCGUGCCUAACACAUGCAAGUCGAACGUCCUACGCAAGUAGGGAGUGGCGGACGGGUGAGUAACACGUGGGCAAUCUACCUUUCGGUGAGGAAUACCGGCGAGAAAUCGCCGACAAUACCGCAUACGCUUCGCAAGAAGCAAAGUCGCAAGACGCCGGAGGAGGAGCCUGCGCCCGAUUAGCUGGUUGGUGGAGUAAUGGUCUACCAAGGCGACGAUCGGUAGCUGGUCUGAGAGGAUGAUCAGCCACACUGGGACUGAGACACGGCCCAGACUCCUACGGGAGGCAGCAGUGGGGAAUAUUGGACAAUGGGGGAAACCCUGAUCCAGCCAUGCCGCGUGUGUGAUGAAGGCCUUCGGGUUGUAAAGCACUUUCGCACGUGACGAUGAUGACGGUAACGUGAGAGAAGCCCGGCUAACUUCGUGCCAGCAGCCGC
This 451-nucleotide ribosomal RNA is filed under the name uncultured bacterium. RNAcentral describes it as "SSU rRNA". It matches the Rfam family "Bacterial small subunit ribosomal RNA", at positions 26 to 518 of the family's 1533-position model. The record is from RNAcentral.